Non-coding RNA from Vicia faba (fava bean), 204 nucleotides. The record is from the annotation of a GenBank genome assembly. NCBI's taxonomy places the organism in Eukaryota, Viridiplantae, Streptophyta, Magnoliopsida, Fabales, Fabaceae.
AUGCAUAAAGUGAAAAUUCAUUCUUUGUAUUUAAGACCAUUCAGAACAACAACACCAACUCGGCGAGUCCGACUCAGCAUUCCAAGAAAUCCAACUCAAUUAACACUUCUCUCAUCUAUCACUGACAUCAAGAUAGAGAGUGAAAGAAACCAAACCACACUCUCAAAAAGCCUCAUACCCAACGCAACACAACGACGUCGUUGA